Molecule: microRNA, 22 nt
Filed under: Gallus gallus (chicken)
Lineage: Eukaryota; Metazoa; Chordata; Aves; Galliformes; Phasianidae
Description: gga-miR-1744-5p
Source: miRBase by way of RNAcentral
UGCUCUGUUGAACUCAAAAGCU